GGGUCGGGAUAGAACUGGUACUGUGGUUCGCUCGAGAUACCUCAAUGCUACAGCAGUUUUACUCGAGUAGGACAGUUGCAAGGCGCGCGUUCAGCGGGUGUCCCACGGUCCAGUGAGACGUUUGGAACAAUUUUGUAGUCUGGGUGCAUGUGUGUUACAAGAGCCCCGUCCUUACCUCGAGGUCGCGUUCCCGUUCCGAAGCGGUACUGAUCGAUGCAAGGAGUGUAGACCGAGGGUGCUGCAGCCACCUCGUCGUCGGCGUGGUCAAGUAUAGAGCCCGAACCUUAAAGAUGUGCUCUUAGUGUCCCGUUACUCUAUUUGGACUUGUGGAAUAGAGAUCUGCCACAGUUUCAAUACCUUCUUGCGAAUCGUCUACUCGGUUCACGGUAUACGUUGACCACUAAACUUGAGCUUCCCGAAUCAAGAGUUCCUUUGUUCAUUCAUGUAAACAACUAACGAAAAGCGAAAUGAAUGGUGAAAGUGACAAAAGAACGAG
RNAcentral lists this ribosomal RNA (496 nucleotides) under Triticum aestivum (bread wheat). Its description in RNAcentral is "partial small subunit ribosomal RNA". Lineage: Eukaryota; Viridiplantae; Streptophyta; Magnoliopsida; Poales; Poaceae. The record is from RNAcentral.